RNAcentral lists this ribosomal RNA (253 nucleotides) under uncultured bacterium. Its description in RNAcentral is "partial 16S ribosomal RNA". It matches the Rfam family "Bacterial small subunit ribosomal RNA", at positions 524 to 776 of the family's 1533-position model. The record is from RNAcentral.
UACAGAGGGUGCAAGCGUUAAUCGGAAUUACUGGGCGUAAAGCGUGCGUAGACGGUUACAUAAGUCGGGUGUGAAAGCCCCGGGCUCAACCUGGGAAUUGCAUUCGAGACUGAAUAGCUAGGGUACGGUAGAGGGAAGCGGAAUUUCCGGUGUAGCGGUGAAAUGCGUAGAUAUCGGAAGGAACAUCAGUGGCGAAAGCGGCUUCCUGGACCAGUACCGACGUUCAGGCACGAAAGCGUGGGGAGCAAACAGG